UACGUAGGGUGCGAGCGUUAAUCGGACUUACUGGGCGUAAAGCGUGCGCAGGCGGCCCGUUAAGACAGGUGUGAAAUCCCUGGGCUCAACCUAGGAAUUGCGCUUGUGACUGGCGGGCUCGAGUACGGUAGAGGGGGGUGGAAUUCCUGGUGUAGCAGUGAAAUGCGUAGAGAUCAGGAGGAACACCGAUGGCGAAGGCAGCCCCCUGGGCCUGUACUGACGCUCAUGCACGAAAGCGUGGGGAGCAAACAGG
Molecule: ribosomal RNA, 253 nt
Filed under: uncultured microorganism
Description: partial 16S ribosomal RNA
Rfam family: Bacterial small subunit ribosomal RNA
Source: RNAcentral